UUUACAGAAAUCAUUGGCAUUCUGUCCACCUCCCAUAAUAUAAGUUUCCUUUUUUUUUUUAUAUAGAAAAAAGCCAUUUGUUUUCUUUUUUACUUGGGAGGUGGGCAUCCUGCCAAUAGAGCUCUGUUUG
This 130-nucleotide microRNA precursor is filed under the name Beta vulgaris subsp. vulgaris (sugar beet). RNAcentral's name for it is "pre miRNA MIR394". It matches the Rfam family "MIR394 microRNA precursor family". Lineage: Eukaryota; Viridiplantae; Streptophyta; Magnoliopsida; Caryophyllales; Amaranthaceae. The record is from Rfam by way of RNAcentral.